This is a non-coding RNA of Saimiri boliviensis boliviensis (Bolivian squirrel monkey), 1102 nucleotides long. Lineage: Eukaryota; Metazoa; Chordata; Mammalia; Primates; Cebidae. The record is from RefSeq and is a predicted model, not a curated record.
GUGGCAGUCCCCGGAGUCACAGGGAGCUCACUGCCACAACCUGGCUCUUUGCAGGAGGGUCCAACUCCAGGCAGGGGAUUGCUGACUGAGGUACCUCUUCAGGGUCCUGAGUGUGGCUCCUGGACCAUCCCUUUCCCACUCCUAUUCCAUCCCCUUGCACCACGAUGAUGGCAAAGGAAAAGAAAAGGGUCCUCCCUCCCAGGUGGUCUGUUUCCCAGUGGCAGGGGAGCUACAGUACACAAGCACAGGCUCGCAUUUAUGAAGCAGCCAGUAAGAAUUCCCAACCUUGAAACCAGAAGGUGUCGGAGGGGAUUGAGAUAAGCCGACCCAAGAAAAGAACAAGAUCUUUCUAUGCACUGAAGGUCACCAAAUCAAAGACAGAAGUGCUCGACCAUUAUGGCCUAUGACAAAAGUUAGGCUGGCUGAAGCAUCCUUCUCUUCUAUCUAGAACCCUGGUGGGGUCCCUUAGACCACCACUGGGCCAUCCUCUUCCUUGCACAGAGACAGAGUUCUGGGCUGCGCCAUGGAGGCGUCUGUCAGCACGGCCGUCUGGUGGUCCUCGUUCUCCGGAAAAGCAGCUGCUCCGUGUGACAUGACUACAUCCCCACAGCGGCCUGCUAUUCAGCUGGGCUGACUGACAUCAGAGCACAGGCUUGGAAGGCCACCCUCUCAGACAGGUCUACCAAGAAGCUCACUGAGAGGUGACACACAUGGCCAAGGAAUAUGAAAAAAAGGUCAGUGCCCUUCUUGCAAAUUGAAGCAGGAAACCAUUUUUCAUCUACAAGGCUGAUAAAGAUGAGAUGUUCUGCUAAUCCAGGAAGAGUAUCAGGAAACUGUCACUCAAAGGACUGUAGGUGAAAUGUAAUUGAUACAGCUACUUUGGAGGGCAAAGAUAUCUUUCAAAAUUUAAAUGACAGGGAUAGCAGUAUUAGAGGCGGGAGAUAAAGAAUCUGGGUUUCUUUUAGGGGUGAUGAAAAUGUUCUAAAACGGAUUGUGGUGACAGUUUCCCACGACUCUGAAUAUACUGAAAACCACCAAACUGUACACUUGGGUGGGUCGUAUAGCAGAUGAAUUAUAUCUCAAUAAAAUUUUUACCAAAAGA